UUUCCGUAGGUGAACCUGCGGAAGGAUCAUUAAAGGUUGCUAACCCGGGGCUAACCCCCCCGGUGUUACGCUUCAAACCCCAAUGUCUAUCGUUUAAGAAAACCCUUUUUUUAAACUCCAGAUCAUGGAUUUAUCAAAAAACAAGUUAUUAAAAACUUUCAACAACGGAUCUCUUGGGACACCAGUCGAUGAAGAACGCAGC
This 202-nucleotide unclassified non-coding RNA is filed under the name uncultured fungus. RNAcentral's name for it is "sequence contains ITS1, 5.8S rRNA gene". Lineage: Eukaryota; Fungi. The record is from RNAcentral.